CCUACGGGAGGCAGCAGUGAGGAAUAUUGGUCAAUGGGCUUACGCCUGAACCAGCCAAGUCGCGUGAGGGAAGACUGCCCUAUGGGUUGUAAACCUCUUUUGUCAGGGAGCAAUUGGCGCUACGUGUAGCGUUAUCGAGAGUACCUGAAGAAAAAGCAUCGGCUAACUCCGUGCCAGCAGCCGCGGUAAUACGGAGGAUGCGAGCGGUAUCCGGAUUGAUUGGGUUUAAAGGGUGCGUAGGCGGAAUGCCAAGUCAGCGGUAAAAUCGCGGGGCUCAACCUCGCUCCGCCGUUGAAACUGGCGUUCUUGAGUGGGCGAGAAGUAUGCGGAAUGCGUGGUGUAGCGGUGAAAUGCAUAGAUAUCACGCAGAACUCCGAUUGCGAAGGCAGCAUACCGGCGCCCAACUGACGCUGAAGCACGAAAGCGUGGGUAUCGAACAGGAUUAGAUACCCUGGUAGUC
Molecule: ribosomal RNA, 460 nt
Filed under: uncultured bacterium
Lineage: Bacteria
Description: partial 16S ribosomal RNA
Rfam family: Bacterial small subunit ribosomal RNA
Source: RNAcentral